RNAcentral lists this transfer RNA (77 nucleotides) under Syntrophomonas zehnderi OL-4. RNAcentral's name for it is "tRNA-Arg". It matches the Rfam family "tRNA". Rfam says of the family: Transfer RNA (tRNA) molecules are approximately 80 nucleotides in length. Their secondary structure includes four short double-helical elements and three loops (D, anti-codon, and T loops). Further hydrogen bonds mediate the characteristic L-shaped molecular structure. tRNAs have two regions of fundamental functional importance: the anti-codon, which is responsible for specific mRNA codon recognition, and the 3' end, to which the tRNAs corresponding amino acid is attached (by aminoacyl-tRNA synthetases). tRNAs cope with the degeneracy of the genetic code in two manners: having more than one tRNA (with a specific anti-codon) for a particular amino acid; and 'wobble' base-pairing, i.e. permitting non-standard base-pairing at the 3rd anti-codon position. Lineage: Bacteria; Bacillati; Bacillota; Clostridia; Eubacteriales; Syntrophomonadaceae. The record is from RNAcentral.
GCGCCUGUAGCUCAGCUGGAUAGAGUAACAGACUACGAAUCUGGAGGCCGGGGGUUCGAAUCCCUCCAGGCGCGCCA